Molecule: long non-coding RNA, 468 nt
Organism: Drosophila serrata
Lineage: Eukaryota; Metazoa; Arthropoda; Insecta; Diptera; Drosophilidae
Source: RefSeq, a predicted model, not a curated record
GUGAAAAUUGGCUUAGAGCUUUGAGCCAGGAAACGGAUAUAGGAUACUUUUUAUACCGUUCAACAGAAUAGCGUGAUAUCCAUAGCUGAUAUAUAGCAUUUACUACAAACCAAUGUAUCGAGUAGUCGUUUCCUAACAUUUCAAUUGGAAACAAUAAAUUAAAUUAAGUGUAGGCAUUUGUCUUUAAGGUGGGACGACGUUUAUUUACAGAACUUAAACAAAGAUAGACAAAAUAUAAUAAGAGAAAGUCCCCUAUUGAUAAAACGCGUGAGGACACGAAGAUCAUUGGCAUCAGCGCAGAACUACAGUGAUUAUGAAAAUAUAGAUAUUGGACCAAUGACGACUAUAUGCCGAUAUUGCAAUGCGUUAAAGUUCAACAGAGAAGCGGCGGGAUUGUGCUGCGCAAAUGAAAAAGUUAAAGUGGCUCCAUUACUUUUUAAAUAAAAAACAAAAAUAAAAAUCACUAAA